Molecule: ribosomal RNA, 581 nt
Filed under: Crenosoma striatum
Lineage: Eukaryota; Metazoa; Nematoda; Chromadorea; Rhabditida; Crenosomatidae
Description: eukaryotic LSU rRNA
Rfam family: Eukaryotic large subunit ribosomal RNA
Source: RNAcentral
GAAAUCGUUGAAGUGGAACCGGAGAGAGUUGACGUAGUAUGGUGGAUAAGUAUUGCAAGAAUCGCUUCAAACAAUGAAUGUGAUCGAGUAAUAUGUACGUCACCAAAGACUGCGCUGACAGCAUCGACUACACGCUCUGAACUGUGUUGACAUGUUGCCUAUUCUAGUAUAUAGAAUGGUGUCUUGUGUUACGUGGUGAAGUUUGUUGUUAUGUUGUUGAUGUUGAUAAGUAUGAUUAUACACCAAGUAUAAUUAUGUCAGUGUAAAAGUCAACCACCUCUCCGACCCGUCUUGAAACACGGACCGAGGAGUGUAACUUGUACGCGAGUCAUUGGGUGGAAAAACCUUAAGGCGAAACGAAAGUGAAGGCACGGUUAACCGGCUGACAUGGGAAACGUGCGGUAUUGUUAGCGAGACGUUACACCAUGGCCCUGUCUUGUCUGCAUGCAGAUGGGCAGCGGUAGAGCGUACAGGUUGCGACCCGAAAGAUGGUGAACUAUGCCUGAGCAGGACGAAGUCAGAGGAAACUCUGGUGGAAGUCCGUAUCGGUUCUGACGUGCAAAUCGAUCGAUAGACUUGGG